Non-coding RNA from Malus domestica (apple), 2240 nucleotides. Lineage: Eukaryota; Viridiplantae; Streptophyta; Magnoliopsida; Rosales; Rosaceae. The record is from RefSeq and is a predicted model, not a curated record.
ACCAAUCGAACCGGACUGAAAGAAAAUAUGUGAAUCCACUCCGGUCGGGCAGGAUCCGACUGUACGAUGUUUGGUCCAAAAAAAAAAAAGAAGAAGAAGAAAAAUCCCCGAUUUUGACGGAUAAUUAAAAAACUAAUCGUAUCUCUCUCUCUCCUCGCUUUCUCUCUCCUUCUGGUUUCUCAACCCAAAAGAUCUGUCCCAUUUCCACCACUGUCUCCUUCUAGAUCGAAGCUCUGCAAACAAAGCCCUCAGUUAGUGGCAUAAUUUGUGGAAAAAUAUGGCUAUGGUUGAUGAACGUUUAUACCCGAUUGCGGUUUUAAUUGACGAGCUUAAGAAUGAAGACAUUCAGCUCCGGUUGAACUCAAUCCGGAGGCUUUCCACGAUUGCCCGUGCGCUGGGAGAAGAGAGGACCAGGAAGGAACUGAUUCCUUUCCUCAGUGAGAACAACGAUGAUGAUGAUGAAGUGCUUCUGGCAAUGGCGGAAGAGUUGGGGGUGUUCAUCCCCUAUGUAGGUGGUGUGGAGCAUGCCAACAUUCUGCUUCCGCCUUUGGAAACACUCUGCACUGUUGAGGAAACAUGUGUGAGGGAUAAGGCGGUGGAUUCGUUGUGUAAAAUUGGGGGGCAGAUGAGAGAAAAGGACUUGGUUGAAUACUUCAUUCCUUUGGUUAAGAGACUAGCUGCUGGCGAGUGGUUUACAGCCCGAGUUUCAUCCUGUGGUUUGUUUCAUAUUGCUUAUACUAGUGCACCAGAAACUUUAAAAACUGAACUACGAACGACAUACAGUCAACUGUGCCAAGAUGACAUGCCCAUGGUUAGGAGAUCUGCUGCAAGUAACCUGGGAAAAUUUGCUGGGGACUGUAGAAGCUGUGCACCUCAAGGCUGACAUAAUGUCUAUAUUUGAGGAUUUGACGCAGGAUGAUCAGGAUUCUGUUCGGUUAUUGGCCGUGGAGGGUUUUGCAGCUCUUGGGAAGUUGUUGGAGCCUCAAGAUUGUGUGGCCCAUAUUCUUCCUGUCAUUGUUAACUUUUCACAGGAUAAGUCUUGGCGUGAUACAUGGUUGCAAAUCAAUUAUAUGAGCUUUGUGAAGCUGUUGGUCCAGAAGCUACAAGGUCGGACCUGGUGCCUGCAUACGUUCGGCUUCUUCGGGAUAAUGAGGCUGAAGUACGAAUAGCUGCUGCAGGAAAAGUAACUAAGUUUUGCCGAAUUGUGAAUCCAGAACUUGCCAUUCAGCAGAUCCUUCCUUUCGUAAAGGAAUUGUCGACAGAUUCUUCCCAGCAUGUUCGUUCUGCAUUGGCUUCAGUAAUAAUGGGAAUGGCACAAGUUUUAGGAAAGGAUGCAACUAUAGAGCAGCUGCUGCCUAUUUUUCUUUCUCUUCUAAAAGACGAGUUUCCUGAUGUGCGAUUGAAUAUUAUUAGCAAGCUUGAUCAAGUCAACGAGGUAAUUGGGAUUGAUAUGCUGUCCCAGUCUUUGUUGCCGGCAAUUGUUGAACUUGCAGAGGAUAGACAUUGGAGGGUUCGGCUUGCGAUAAUAGAAUACAUUCCUUUAUUGGCAAGUCAGUUGGGUGUUGAGUUUUUUGAUGAUAAGCUUGGCUCUCUCUGCAUGCAGUGGUUAAAUGAUAAGGUUUACUCAAUACGUGAUGCAGCUGCUAAUAAUGUGAAGCGCCUUGCAGAAGAAUUCGGCCCCGAAUGGGCAAUGCAGCAUAUAGUUCCACAGGUUUUGGAAAUGAUAAGCAACCCCCACUAUUUGUAUCGGAUGACCAUUCUACAUGCCAUUUCCCUACUUGCCCCUGUUUUGGGAUCAGAACUCACUUGUUCCAGGCUUGUACCGGUGAUAGUCACUGCAUCAAAAGACAGGGUACCAAACAUCAAGUUCAAUGUGGCUAAGGUGUUGCAGUCGAUUAUUCCGAUAGUUGAUCAGUCGGUGGUGGAGAAAACUAUUUGUCCUUGUUUGCUUGAGCUUAGUGAGGAUCCCGACGUUGAUGUAAGGUCCUUUGCUAGCCAAGCCCUUCAGUCAAGCGAACAGGUCAUGAUGUCUCGCUAGCGAGGUAGUCCUUAGUUUCCGUCUUGUUUACUUUUCCUUUUUGUGAACCACGAAAUUCAGAUGUAUCUUUUCUUUACCCUCUUGAGACGCAGAGGUUAUUUUCGUACGCUCAACGAUUUGCCAUGAUUUUGAUUCUUUAUGGUACAUUUGUUCGAAUCAGUGUUAGUAAUGUUGUUGUAUCCAAAUGUGGCGUUGGAAUUUA